This 253-nucleotide ribosomal RNA is filed under the name uncultured bacterium. RNAcentral describes it as "partial 16S ribosomal RNA". It matches the Rfam family "Bacterial small subunit ribosomal RNA", at positions 524 to 776 of the family's 1533-position model. The record is from RNAcentral.
UACGUAGGGGGCAAGCGUUGUCCGGAAUUAUUGGGCGUAAAGAGCGCGUAGGCGGUCCGAUAAGUCGGCUGUGAAAGUCCAGGGCUCAACCCUGGAAAGCCGGCCGAUACUGUCGGACUAGAGUCCGGAAGAGGCAAGUGGAAUUCCCGGUGUAGCGGUGAAAUGCGCAGAUAUCGGGAGGAACACCAAUGGCGAAGGCAGCUUGCUGGGACGGUACUGACGCUGAGGCGUGAAAGCGUGGGGAGCAAACAGG